GGGAGGGACUAAUUUCAGA
Molecule: microRNA, 19 nt
Filed under: Lotus japonicus
Lineage: Eukaryota; Viridiplantae; Streptophyta; Magnoliopsida; Fabales; Fabaceae
Description: lja-miR11072a-3p
Source: miRBase by way of RNAcentral